This 253-nucleotide ribosomal RNA is filed under the name uncultured bacterium. RNAcentral describes it as "partial 16S ribosomal RNA". It matches the Rfam family "Bacterial small subunit ribosomal RNA", at positions 524 to 776 of the family's 1533-position model. The record is from RNAcentral.
CACGUAGGGCGCAAGCGUUGUCCGGAAUUAUUGGGCGUAAAGAGCUCGUAGGCGGUCUGUUGCGUCCGCUGUGAAAACUCGGGGCUUAACCCCGAGCCUGCAGUGGAUACGGGCAGACUAGAGGUAGGUAGGGGAGAAUGGAAUUCCCGGUGUAGCGGUGAAAUGCGCAGAUAUCGGGAGGAACACCGGUGGCGAAGGCGGUUCUCUGGGCCGAUACCGACGCUGAGGAGCGAAAGCGUGGGGAGCGAACAGG